CCUACGGGAGGCAGCAGUGAGGAAUAUUGGUCAAUGGUCGCGAGCCUGAACCAGCCAAGCAGCGUGAAGGAGGAAGGCCCUAAGGGUUGUAAACUUCUUUUAUAAAGGAAUAAAGGCAGGUACGUGUGCCUUUAUGUAUGUACUUUAUGAAUAAGGAUCGGCUAACUCCGUGCCAGCAGCCGCGGUAAUACGGAGGAUCCGAGCGUUAUCCGGAUUUAUUGGGUUUAAAGGGAGCGGAGAGGGGUUGGUAAGUCAGUUGUGAAAGCUUGGGGCUCAACCGUAGGAUUGCAGUUGAUACUGGCAGCCUUGAGUAGGAUAGAGGUAUGCGGAAUUCGCGGUGUAGCGGUGAAAUGCUUAGAUAUCGCGAAGAACUCCGAUUGCGAAGGCAGCAUGCUGGCCUGCCACUGACGUUGAGGCUCGAAAGUGUGGGUAUCAAACAGGAUUAGAUACCCCUGUAGUC
This 460-nucleotide ribosomal RNA is filed under the name uncultured bacterium. RNAcentral describes it as "partial 16S ribosomal RNA". It matches the Rfam family "Bacterial small subunit ribosomal RNA", at positions 338 to 795 of the family's 1533-position model. The record is from RNAcentral.